Molecule: ribosomal RNA, 422 nt
Filed under: Lichenophagus fritillus
Lineage: Eukaryota; Metazoa; Arthropoda; Insecta; Coleoptera; Curculionidae
Description: partial 16S ribosomal RNA
Source: RNAcentral
GGUAUUUUGACCGUGCAAAGGUAGCAUAAUCCUUAGUUUUUUAAUUGAAAGCUGGAAUGAAAGGUUGGAUGAAAAAAAAGCUGUCUCUAUUUAAUUUAUUUAGAAUUUUAUUUUUAAGUUAAAAAGCUUAAAUUUAAAUAGAAGACGAGAAGACCCUAUAGAGUUUUAUUAAUUUUUUUUAUAGAAUUAAUAGUAUUUUUUAUUUUUAUAAAAAUUAUUAAUUUAGUUGGGGUGAUUGAAAAAUUAAAUUAACUUUUUUUUUAUGUUUACAUUAAUUUAUGAAUGCUUGAUCCUUAUUUUAAGAUUAAAAGAUAAAAUUACCUUAGGGAUAACAGCGUAAUUUUUUUUAAGAGUUCAAAUCGAAAGAAAAGAUUGCGACCUCGAUGUUGGAUUAAAAUAAAAUUUUGGUGUAGAAGCUAAAA